UUAAGCGACUAAGCGUACACGGUGGAUGCCCUGGCAGUCAGAGGCGAUGAAGGACGUGCUAAUCUGCGAAAAGCGUCGGUAAGGUGAUAUGAACCGUUAUAACCGGCGAUGUCCGAAUGGGGAAACCCAGUGUGAUUCGUCACACUAUCGUUAACUGAAUACAUAGGUUAACGAGGCGAACCGGGGGAACUGAAACAUCUAAGUACCCCGAGGAAAAGAAAUCAACCGAGAUUCCCCCAGUAGCGGCGAGCGAACGGGGAGCAGCCCAGAGUCUGAAUCAGCUUGUGUGUUAGUGGAACGGUCUGGAAAGUCCGACGGUACAGGGUGAUAGUCCCGUACACCAAAAUGCACAGGUUGUGAACUCGAAGAGUAGGGCGGGACACGUGGUAUCCUGUCUGAAUAUGGGGGGACCAUCCUCCAAGGCUAAAUACUCCUGACUGACCGAUAGUGAACCAGUACCGUGAGGGAAAGGCGAAAAGAACCCCGGCGAGGGGAGUGAAAAAGAACCUGAAACCGUGUACGUACAAGCAGUGGGAGCACCUUCGGGUGUGACUGCGUACCUUUUGUAUAAUGGGUCAGCGACUUAUAUUCUGUAGCAAGGUUAACCGUAUAGGGGAGCCGCAGGGAAACCGAGUCUUAACUGGGCGUUAAGUUGCAGGGUAUAGACCCGAAACCCGGUGAUCUAGCCAUGGGCAGGUUGAAGGUUGGGUAACACUAACUGGAGGACCGAACCGACUAAUGUUGAAAAAUUAGCGGAUGACUUGUGGCUGGGGGUGAAAGGCCAAUCAAACCGGGAGAUAGCUGGUUCUCCCCGAAAGCUAUUUAGGUAGCGCCUCGUGAACUCAUCUUCGGGGGUAGAGCACUGUUUCGGCUAGGGGGUCAUCCCGACUUACCAACCCGAUGCAAACUACGAAUACCGAAGAAUGUUAUCACGGGAGACACACGGCGGGUGCUAACGUCCGUCGUGAAGAGGGAAACAACCCAGACCGCCAGCUAAGGUCCCAAAGUCAUGGUUAAGUGGGAAACGAUGUGGGAAGGCACAGACAGCCAGGAUGUUGGCUUAGAAGCAGCCAUCAUUUAAAGAAAGCGUAAUAGCUCACUGGUCGAGUCGGCCUGCGCGGAAGAUGUAACGGGGCUAAACCAUGCACCGAAGCUGCGGCAGCGACACUAUGUGUUGUUGGGUAGGGGAGCGUUCUGUAAGCCUGCGAAGGUGUGCUGUGAGGCAUGCUGGAGGUAUCAGAAGUGCGAAUGCUGACAUAAGUAACGAUAAAGCGGGUGAAAAGCCCGCUCGCCGGAAGACCAAGGGUUCCUGUCCAACGUUAAUCGGGGCAGGGUGAGUCGACCCCUAAGGCGAGGCCGAAAGGCGUAGUCGAUGGGAAACAGGUUAAUAUUCCUGUACUUGGUGUUACUGCGAAGGGGGGACGGAGAAGGCUAUGUUAGCCGGGCGACGGUUGUCCCGGUUUAAGCAUGUAGGCUGAUUGUCCAGGCAAAUCCGGAUAAUCAAGGCUGAGGUGUGAUGACGAGGCACUACGGUGCUGAAGUAACAAAUGCCCUGCUUCCAGGAAAAGCCUCUAAGCAUCAGGUAACAUUAAAUCGUACCCCAAACCGACACAGGUGGUCAGGUAGAGAAUACCAAGGCGCUUGAGAGAACUCGGGUGAAGGAACUAGGCAAAAUGGUGCCGUAACUUCGGGAGAAGGCACGCUGGUGUGUAGGUGAAGUCCCUGCGGAUGGAGCUGAGACCAGUCGAAGAUACCAGCUGGCUGCAACUGUUUAUUAAAAACACAGCACUGUGCAAACACGAAAGUGGACGUAUACGGUGUGACGCCUGCCCGGUGCCGGAAGGUUAAUUGAUGGGGUUAUCCGUAAGGAGAAGCUCUUGAUCGAAGCCCCGGUAAACGGCGGCCGUAACUAUAACGGUCCUAAGGUAGCGAAAUUCCUUGUCGGGUAAGUUCCGACCUGCACGAAUGGCGUAAUGAUGGCCAGGCUGUCUCCACCCGAGACUCAGUGAAAUUGAACUCGCUGUGAAGAUGCAGUGUACCCGCGGCAAGACGGAAAGACCCCGUGAACCUUUACUAUAGCUUGACACUGAACAUUGAGCCUUGAUGUGUAGGAUAGGUGGGAGGCUUUGAAGCGUGGACGCCAGUCUGCGUGGAGCCAACCUUGAAAUACCACCCUUUAAUGUUUGAUGUUCUAACGUUGGCCCCUUACCGGGGUUGCGGACAGUGUCUGGUGGGUAGUUUGACUGGGGCGGUCUCCUCCCAAAGCGUAACGGAGGAGCACGAAGGUUAGCUAAUCCUGGUCGGACAUCAGGAGGUUAGUGCAAUGGCAUAAGCUAGCUUGACUGCGAGCGUGACGGCGCGAGCAGGUGCGAAAGCAGGUCAUAGUGAUCCGGUGGUUCUGAAUGGAAGGGCCAUCGCUCAACGGAUAAAAGGUACUCCGGGGAUAACAGGCUGAUACCGCCCAAGAGUUCAUAUCGACGGCGGUGUUUGGCACCUCGAUGUCGGCUCAUCACAUCCUGGGGCUGAAGUAGGUCCCAAGGGUAUGGCUGUUCGCCAUUUAAAGUGGUACGCGAGCUGGGUUUAGAACGUCGUGAGACAGUUCGGUCCCUAUCUGCCGUGGGCGCUGGAGAAUUGAGGGGGGCUGCUCCUAGUACGAGAGGACCGGAGUGGACGCAUCACUGGUGUUCGGGUUGUCAUGCCAAUGGCACUGCCCGGUAGCUAAAUGCGGAAGAGAUAAGUGCUGAAAGCAUCUAAGCACGAAACUUGCCCCGAGAUGAGUUCUCCCUGAGACUUUAAGUCUCCUGAAGGAACGUUGAAGACGACGACGUUGAUAGGCCGGGUGUGUAAGCGCAGCGAUGCGUUGAGCUAACCGGUACUAAUGAACCGUGAGGCUUAACCUU
RNAcentral lists this ribosomal RNA (2900 nucleotides) under Klebsiella pneumoniae. RNAcentral describes it as "bacterial LSU rRNA". It matches the Rfam family "Bacterial large subunit ribosomal RNA". The record is from RNAcentral. Lineage: Bacteria; Pseudomonadati; Pseudomonadota; Gammaproteobacteria; Enterobacterales; Enterobacteriaceae.